UACAACGUAUUUUUAAUUAAAUUAUCUUAGUAGUCAUUGAUCAGUCCAAGAAAAGUAGAUUAGGUAUAACCAGUGAUAAACUAAGACAUGGUAAAACCGGAGCUGAGAUUGUAAGGAAGAGUCAAUGUUCUAGUUCCAUGAGUGUGACUUCUUCGAAUAUUAUGCUUGAAGGCUGUUUAUAACAUGUACAAAAUUCUACUAAUCAUCUAAAGGGCUUUAGCAAUUAAAUUUUGAUUUCAUCAUUUGUGAUUCGAGAUAUUUAAACACAAACAGCCAAAAAAUAAUCAAGGUACUAAAAUGUUU
This 303-nucleotide long non-coding RNA is filed under the name Brassica rapa (field mustard). RNAcentral describes it as "long non-coding RNA (BRAP_LNC006288)". The record is from RNAcentral. Lineage: Eukaryota; Viridiplantae; Streptophyta; Magnoliopsida; Brassicales; Brassicaceae.